This 393-nucleotide ribosomal RNA is filed under the name uncultured bacterium. RNAcentral's name for it is "partial 16S ribosomal RNA". It matches the Rfam family "Bacterial small subunit ribosomal RNA", at positions 523 to 918 of the family's 1533-position model. The record is from RNAcentral.
AUACGGAGGACGCGAGCGUUAUCCGGAUUCAUUGGGUUUAAAGGGUGCGCAGGCGGCCGUGCAAGUCAGCGGUGAAAGCCCGGGGCUCAACCCCGGAAGUGCCGUUGAUACUGCAUGGCUGGAAUGCGGUCGAGGCGGGCGGAACGUGGCGGGUAGCGGGGGAAUGCGUAGAUAUGCCACAGAACGCCGAUAGCGGAGGCAGCUCGCCAGGCCUGCAUUGACGCUCGGGCACGAAAGCGUGGGGAUCGAACAGGAUUAGAUCCCCUGGUAGUCCACGCCGUAAACGAUGGGCGCUCGUCGUCGGCGGCAGACAGUCGGCGGCCAAGCGAAAGCGAUAAGCGCCCCACCUGGGGAGUACGGUCGCAAGGCUGAAACUCAAAUGAAUUGACGGGG